Molecule: ribosomal RNA, 388 nt
Filed under: uncultured bacterium
Lineage: Bacteria
Description: bacterial SSU rRNA
Rfam family: Bacterial small subunit ribosomal RNA
Source: RNAcentral
AUUGAACGCUGGCGGCAUGCCUUACACAUGCAAGUCGAACGGCAGCACGGGGGCAACCCUGGUGGCGAGUGGCGGACGGGUGAGUAAAGCAUCGGAACGUAUCCUGGAGUGGGGGGAUAACGUAGCGAAAGUUACGCUAAUACCGCAUAUUCUGUGAGCAGGAAAGCAGGGGGUCGCAAGACCUUGCGCUCUGGGAGCGGCCGAUGUCGGAUUAGCUAGUUGGUGGGGUAAAGGCCUACCAAGGCGACGAUCCGUAGCGGGUCUGAGAGGAUGAUCCGCCACACUGGGACUGAGACACGGCCCAGACUCCUACGGGAGGCAGCAGUGGGGAAUUUUGGACAAUGGGCGCAAGCCUGAUCCAGCCAUGCCGCGUGAGUGAAGAAGGCCU